This 457-nucleotide ribosomal RNA is filed under the name uncultured bacterium. RNAcentral describes it as "SSU rRNA". It matches the Rfam family "Bacterial small subunit ribosomal RNA", at positions 26 to 518 of the family's 1533-position model. The record is from RNAcentral.
AGAAUCAACGCUGGCGGCGUGCCUAACACAUGCAAGUCGAACGAGAAAGGGUAGCAAUACCUGAGUAAAGUGGCGCACGGGUGAGUAACACGUGACUAACCUACCUUUUAGUGGGGGAUAACCUAGGGAAACCUGGGCUAAUACCGCAUAAUACCUACGGGUCAAAGCAGCAAUGCGCUGAAAGAGGGGGUCGCGGUCGAUUAGUUAGUUGGCAGGGUAAUGGCCUACCAAGACUGUGAUCGAUAUCCGGCCUGAGAGGGCGCACGGACACACUGGAACUGAAACACGGUCCAGACUCCUACGGGAGGCAGCAGUGGGAAUUUGCGCAAUGGGGGAAACCCUGACGCAGCAACGCCGCGUGGAGGAUGAAGUCCCUUGGGACGUAAACUCCUUUCGAUCGGGACGAUAAUGACGGUACCGGAAGAAGAAGCCCCGGCUAACUCGUGCCAGCAGCCGC